RNAcentral lists this ribosomal RNA (253 nucleotides) under uncultured bacterium. Its description in RNAcentral is "partial 16S ribosomal RNA". It matches the Rfam family "Bacterial small subunit ribosomal RNA", at positions 524 to 776 of the family's 1533-position model. The record is from RNAcentral.
GGCGGAGGAGGCUAGCGUUGUUCGGAAUUACUGGGCGUAAAGCGCGCGCAGGCGGCCAUUCAAGUCAGGGGUGAAAGCCCGGGGCUCAACCUCGGAACUGCCUUUGAGACUGGAUGGCUCGAGACCGAGAGAGGAGAGUGGAAUUCCCAGUGUAGAGGUGAAAUUCGUAGAUAUUGGGAAGAACACCGGUGGCGAAGGCGGCUCUCUGGCUCGGUACUGACGCUCAUGCGCGAAAGCGUGGGGAGCAAACAGG